RNAcentral lists this ribosomal RNA (429 nucleotides) under uncultured Acidobacteriota bacterium. RNAcentral's name for it is "bacterial SSU rRNA". It matches the Rfam family "Bacterial small subunit ribosomal RNA", at positions 355 to 776 of the family's 1533-position model. Lineage: Bacteria; Pseudomonadati; Acidobacteriota. The record is from RNAcentral.
UGGGGAAUUUUGCGCAAUGGGCGAAAGCCUGACGCAGCAACGCCGCGUGGAGGAUGAAGGUCUUUGGAUCGUAAACUCCUGUCAGCAGGGAAAAAGGGAUUCGACCUCAUACGUCGGAGACUUGAUUGUACCUGCAGAGGAAGCCCCGGCUAACUCUGUGCCAGCAGCCGCGGUAAUACAGAGGGGGCGAGCGUUAUUCGGAAUUAUUGGGCGUAAAGGGCGCGUAGGCGGCUUUUCAAGUGACGGGUGAAAUCCCUCGGCUUAACCGAGGAACUGCCUGUCAGACUGGAAGGCUUGAGACCGGGAGAGGUGAGUGGAAUUCCCAGUGUAGCGGUGAAAUGCGUAGAUAUUGGGAGGAACACCAGUGGCGAAGGCGGCUCACUGGACCGGAACUGACGCUGAGGCGCGAAAGCGUGGGGAGCAAACAGG